CGACCUCAGGUCAGGCAAGACAACCCGCUGAGUUUAAGCAUAUCACUAAGCGGAGGAAAAGAAACUAACAAGGAUUUCCCUAGUAGCGGCGAGCGAAACGGAAAGAGCCCAGCUUGGAAAUCGGGGUGUCUCUGCACCCCGAAUUGUAGUCUGGAGAAGGGUCCUCUGCAGCGGACCGGGUUUAAGUCCCUUGGAACGGGACGCCAGAGAGGGUGAGAGCCCCGUCUAGCCCGGACCCUGCUGCAUCACGAGGCUCUUUCGGCGAGUCGGGCUGUUUGGGAAUGCAGCCUUAAGUGGGUGGUAAAUUCCAUCCAAGGCUAAAUACUGGUGAGAGACCGAUAGCGCACAAGUACCGCGAGGGAAAGAUGAAAAGGACUUUGAAAAGAGAGUUAAAAAGUGCUUGAAAUUGCUGGGAGGGAAGCGAAUGGAUGCCUUGUGCGCCCCUUGGUUGUGUGUGGAACGGCGAGAGCUGGUCUGCCAAGCAAUGCAAGGGGCUGUCCAGCAUGGGAGGACGCGGCGGGAUAACGGCUUGUGAGCCUCUGGCUCCCUGCCAAUGCCGCCGCUGCCUCUGAAAAUGGCGGGGUGCUCCGGUGCCCCGCCAGAUGCUGGAACUUGGGCGUUCCAUCCGACCCGUCUUGAAACACGGACCAAGGAGUCUAACAUGUAUGCGAGUCUGUGGGUGUUAAACCCGUACAGGCGAAAGGAAACUAAUUCGUGGGAUCCCCUUCGGGGGUGCACCACGGACCGACCUUGAUCUUUUGAGAAGGGUUUGAGUGUUAGCAUACCUGCUGGGACCCGAAAGAUGGUGAACUAUGCCUGAGCAGGGCGAAGCCAGAGGAAACUCUGGUGGAGGCUCGUAGCGAUACUGACGUGCAAAUCGUUCGUCAGACUUGGGUAUAGGGGCGAAAGACUAAUCGAACCAUCUAGUAGCUGGUACCCUCCGAAGUUUCCCUCAGGAUAGCUGGAGCUCUUGCUGAGUUUUAUCGGGUAAAGCGAAUGAUUAGAGGCAUCGGGGGUGAAACACCCUCGACCUAUUCUCAAACUUUAAAUAGGUAAAGCAGCCGGGGUUGCUCUGUUGAGCCCCGGCCGUGAAUGCGAGCUCCAAGUGGGCCAUUUUUGGUAAGCAGAACUGGCGAUGCGGGAUGAACCGAAAGCCGGGCUACGGUGCCAAAGUGCGCGCUAACCCAGAUCCCACAAAGGGUGUUGAUUGAUUAAGACAGCAGGACGGUGGUCAUGGAAGUCGAAAUCCGCUAAGGAGUGUGUAACAACUCACCUGCCGAAUCAACUAGCCCCGAAAAUGGAUGGCGCUUAAGCGCGCGGCCUAUGCCCGGCCAUCGCGGCGAUUGCGAGGCCCCGAUGAGUAGGAGGGCGUGGGGGUCGUGGUGCAGCUCUGGGCGCGAGCCCGAGUGAAACGGCCCCCAGUGCAGAUCUUGGUGGUAGUAGCAAGUAUUCAAAUGAGAACUUUGAAGACUGAAGUGGAGAAAGGUUCCAUGUGAACAGCAAUUGGACAUGGGUUAGUCGAUCCUAAGAGAUGGGGAAAUCCUGUGUGAAGGGCGCAAUGCGCGCCGCCCAUCGAAAGGGAAUCGGGUUAAUAUUCCCGAACCGGGACAAGGCAGUGGGCGGUAACGCCGACGAAUCCAGAGACACUGGCGGGGGCCCCGGGAAGAGUUAUCUUUUCUUUUUAACGGCCUGCCGACCCUGAAAUCGGUUCAACCGGAGAUAGGGUCUCACGGCCGGCAGAGCACCGCACGUCCUGCGGUGUCCGGUGCGCCCCCGGCGGUCCUUGAAAAUCUGGAGGAGCGAGUGCUGAGCUUGCCCGGUCGUACUCAUAACCGCAUCAGGUCUCCAAGGUGAGCAGCCUCUAGUCGAUGGAACAAUGUAGGUAAGGGAAGUCGGCAAAAUGGAUCCGUAACUUCGGGAAAAGGAUUGGCUCUGAGGGUUGGGCUUAGGGGUCUGCGGCUUGACCCUGUAGGCUGCUGGCGGUCUGCCCGAGCUGCUUGCGCGGCGAGGGCGGGCCCCGGCGUGCCGACCUGGUGACGGACGCAGAACGCCCCUCCCCGCGGGGGGCAUUCCCUAGGCAUCGAACAACCGACUCAGAACUGGAACGGACAAGGGGAAUCCGACUGUUUAAUUAAAACAAAGC
This 2143-nucleotide non-coding RNA is filed under the name Selaginella moellendorffii. RNAcentral describes it as "Eukaryotic large subunit ribosomal RNA". It matches the Rfam family "Eukaryotic large subunit ribosomal RNA", at positions 1 to 2157 of the family's 3401-position model. Lineage: Eukaryota; Viridiplantae; Streptophyta; Lycopodiopsida; Selaginellales; Selaginellaceae. The record is from Rfam by way of RNAcentral.